AUGUAUACACAUUUUAAUAGCCUCCCAACUAGCCACCCUGUCUGCUUAAUUUUUUUUAUUUUUUUAUUUUUUUUUUAUUUUUUUUUUAUUUUUUUAUUUUUUUUUUAUUUUUUUAUUUUUUUUUUAUUGUUUAUACCAUCUUCCCACUUUUGUGUAGGUAAAUCCUAUAUUGCUGGUGUUACCUUCCUACUUCUUUUUUUUUCUUGUUUUCGUGAAAAAUUAAUAAUGAGGCUAACAGCCUUUCCGUUAAGAGAAAACUUUGCAUCGGUUUACUUGUGGUGCAACCUUCUACUGAUAUAUAUCAUUAUCAAGGAAAAACGGCAAAACUGUAUCUGGCACUACAUCUGCUUUUUAUUUUCGACAUUUUUUUUUUUUAUUGCUUGGCAAUUUUCUGUAUUUAUAUCGUUAACUACAAUAGUAUCAUUAUUUAUAGUAGACUUAUUAGGAUAUAAUAUAGAAUCUGUUUUUCAACGUUUACUAAGAGUAUAUGGGUGUUCAUAUAUAAUGUCAAUAUGUGUAUGUUUAUUUCCGAGGUACUUGAUACAUACAUAUUUUACUCAUGUAUUAAUUUCUUUGAUGAUAACUAUUUAUUUAUAUAGAACAAAAAAAAAUGUUAAUAAAAUAGGUGACACUACAAAAAAACAAUGUGGUGAUUAUACAUAUUCAAAAACCGAGUUAGAAAAAGCAGCUGUUGGUGGUGGUGGUGGUAAUGGUGGUGGUAAUGGUGGUGGUGUUGAUAAUUGUAGGGGUAAGCAAAAAGAAGUAAGCAAAAAAAAGAAUGUUAAAAAGUUUUUAAGUGAUCCUAACAUGGUUAAAUUACAGAAUAAAGAAAGAAGUGGUACUGAAACAAUGUUAAGUAAUAUAUAUAUAAUUAAAAAUUUAGGUUAUAUAUUAAAAAAAGGGAUUACAUCUUUAUUAAUAUUUAUAUGUUUUAGAUUAUUUUUAUUAAAAACUGAACAAGAUGAUUCACAUGUUAUGUCUUUAUUAAAAGUUCGUUUAAAAUUGUCUGAACAUAAUUUCGACAGUAUGAUAUAUAGUAUGGGUCAUGAAUUUAGACCAUUUUCUUUGUUUAUGUUUAACAUGCUUAAACAAACAGCAUUAUAUGAGUGUUUUAUAUUUUUAUCUUUUACAAUUUGUUUUUAUAUAAUAUUUUAUUUUUUUAAAAUGUUUAUUAUAUUUAGAAGAAAUAAUCAAAAUUAUAGAGAUAAAAAAAAUAAGUUUGGAAAUAUUACUAAUGGUAUAACUAGCGAAUCUAGUAUUAAUUUAUUUGAUGCAUCGUUUGUUUUUUUAAUUAUUCAGUUUUUAUUUUUCAUUGCAUUAAUGUGUAUAAUAGCAAGACUUCGUGUUUUGGCUUUACCAUUGUUAUGUGUGUUUUGCAGUAUGGUUGGUUCUCCUUAUUUUUUAAAUACAGUUUAUAAUUGUUCCCUCUCCGAUAAACCAAAAAAAGGGUUUAUGCAACAUCUCUUAAAAACCACGACCUACGUAAUAUGCCUCUCCGUAUGUAUUUACUCCAGUUUAAAAUAUUUCCCAUCAUAUGAAUAUAUAAAUAUAUCAAGUAAUGAAAGUACAACACUUGAAUAUAAUUUAAGUCUUAUCGAGUGGAUGAAAUAUAACAUAAAACCAGGAGAACCGAUAAUAACAGAUAUACCAACAUCGAGUUUUAUAAGAGCAACUACUGAUUAUAAACUUAUUUUACAUCCACAAUAUGAAGAUAAAGAUUUAAGAAAACGGGUACGAGAUUAUUAUUUAUUUGCAUCAUGUUUACAUUUUACUGAUGCAAAAAAAUAUUUUUAUGAAAAAUAUAAAGUUCGUUAUUUUGUUAGUAAUAUAUAUCGUUGUAUGUCCAAAAAUUCAAAAAAUAUUCCAAAUACUGGUAUAACUACAACUAAUAUAUCUGAUAUACAAAUUGAUGUAUUCACAUUAGCAGAUAAAGUAGAAGCAAAUUAUUCGAAAUGUAAAAAUCCAAAUACAAUGCGUUUUUGUCAAAGAGUUUUAUAUGAUGAUAAAAAUUAUCAAACAAUUUAUCGAAAUGGAAAAUAUAAUGUAAUUUAUUUUAAUCCAUUAGUUAUAGAAGAUAAUACUCCAUAUGAAUUUUUUUAUGAACAGAAAUAUAAUAAUAUAAAUUAUUAUUUACCUUGGAUAAAUAGAUGUAAAAAAAAUGAGCGUAACAGAUGUGUUUUAAGUAUACUUAAUGUAUCUAGAAUUCUAUUAGAUGUAUUAAAACAAAAAAAAAUGAGUAAAAUAUUGUACAAUUAUAUAAAAUCCAAUUUUAAUAUUAAUACUAAUGUAAAUGCUUUAUUUCAUUUAGCACAGUUUUACGAUUUCGAUUUAAAUGACUUUUCUACUGCCCAUAUCUAUUAUAAAUACGUUUUAAAUAUUAUUACUAAAGAAAAUAUGUUUUUUAUAAAUAGCGAUACAAACAUUAGUAUACAAAAUGAGUCAUUAAAUAAUAUAUCUUCUUUAUCUCUUCCA
This 2472-nucleotide long non-coding RNA is filed under the name Piliocolobus tephrosceles (Ugandan red Colobus). RNAcentral's name for it is "lncRNA (ENSPTEG00000003419.1)". Lineage: Eukaryota; Metazoa; Chordata; Mammalia; Primates; Cercopithecidae. The record is from RNAcentral.